Molecule: long non-coding RNA, 1301 nt
Filed under: Mytilus galloprovincialis (Mediterranean mussel)
Lineage: Eukaryota; Metazoa; Mollusca; Bivalvia; Mytilida; Mytilidae
Source: RNAcentral
UGGUGCGGUCGUGGCCAAAUCAGGUCGUAGUAGAAGCGUAGUGAGAGCGCACUAAGAUCGUAGUAAGAUCGCAAAGGUCGCUGUACCAUCGUAGUGAGAGCGUAGCGAAAGCGUGAUUCUAUUCGGAGAAACUGCGCUACGAUCUCAUUGCGACGUUAUUACGACCUCACUACGAUCAUCACGUUCUCACCGCGACCAAACUACGCUUCCACUACGACUAUACCACGCUGUUCACGACCAUAGUACGAUUCUAGCACGCCCUUGCCGUCCUCAUCACGCUCUUCUUACGACCUGACUACGUUCAUACUACGACCAUUAUUCUCAUUGUCAUUUUCCCAUAAAAUAUAUUAAUUCUCUCCAGGUUUUGUUUGUCUGUAUGUAAUUGGGACUUCUUGUCCAUUUUCUCUAACGGCUCAACCAUGCUUCUUCUUGUUUUCAUAUAGAUUAGACCGUUGGUUUUCCCGUUUGAAUGGUUUUACACUAGUAAUUUUUGGGGCCUUUUAUAUCUUGCUGUUCGGUGUAAGCCAAGGCUCCGUGUUGAAGGCCGUAUCUUGGCCUAUAAUUGUUACUUUUAAAAAUUGUUACUUGGAUUGAGAGUUGUCUCAUUGGCACUCAUACCACAUCUUCCUAUAUCUAUUGACACAUCUGUUUCAUAUCUGCUAUCGUUCACUAAAAUAUCGUCAUUUCAGCUUUAUGGACCAGCAAUAGGUUGUAAUUUAGGUCGGAUUGGUCGGUCCGACAUCUCUACUUGAUCAAGAUUCGUUACUAUCAGAGCUCCAUCUGCCUCUACAUCAACCCUAACACCACGCCCACGUGUUCUAGUAGAUUUUGGUGGCUUGAUUGUAUUUUUUUUUUCGAGAAAUCUACGUAUUAAUUAGAAAUAGAACUGAAGGAAUGAUACUGUAUUGAUAUGGAACACGAUGUUGACGUUAUUGCUGAGAGCGUAGUAAGAUCGCGGUUUGAACGUAGUGUAAUCGUGGUAAGAACGUGCUAUAAUCGCAGUAGAAGCGUGGUAAGAUCGUGUUGCAAUCGGAUAACUCGUGGUAUGGUCGUAGUGAGAACGUGAUGAGCGUAGAAAGAUCUUGAUAAGCGUAGUAAGGUCGCAGAAUAAGCGCGGUGAGAACGUGUUAUAAUCGUAGCGGGAUCGUUGUAGAAGCGUAAUGAGGACGUAGUAGCAUCGUGAAAGCAACGAAAAUUUACAUUUUCAUGCCGCUCAUACCGCGACCUCACCACGAUCUGAAUUUAAUUUAGAUCGCGGUGAGCGUGGUGCGAUCGUGGUCUAGUGGGACUGGGGCUUAAAG